RNAcentral lists this ribosomal RNA (253 nucleotides) under uncultured bacterium. RNAcentral describes it as "partial 16S ribosomal RNA". It matches the Rfam family "Bacterial small subunit ribosomal RNA", at positions 524 to 776 of the family's 1533-position model. The record is from RNAcentral.
UACGUAGGGGGCAAGCGUUGUCCGGAUUUAUUGGGGGUAAAGGGCGUGUAGGCGGCCACACGGGUCUGCUGGGAAAACUCGAGGCUCAACCUCGAGCUGUCGGUGGAAACCGUGUGGCUAGAGUCCGGAAGAGGAGAGUGGAAUUCCCGGUGUAGCGGUGAAAUGCGCAGAUAUCGGGAAGAACACCCGUGGCGAAGGCGGCUCUCUGGGACGGUACUGACGCUGAGACGCGAAAGCGUGGGGAGCGAACAGG